RNAcentral lists this ribosomal RNA (110 nucleotides) under Chinchilla lanigera (long-tailed chinchilla). Lineage: Eukaryota; Metazoa; Chordata; Mammalia; Rodentia; Chinchillidae. The record is from RNAcentral.
GUCUACGGCCAUACCACCCUGAACGCACUCCAUCUUGUCUGACGUCAGAAGCUAAGCAGGGUCGGGCCUGCUUAGUACUUGGGUGGGAGAAAUUAAGGGGAAAAUAGAGA